AGCAGCAGCCGCGGUAAUACAGAGGGUGCAAGCGUUAAUCGGAAUUACUGGGCGUAAAGCGUGCGUAGGCGGUUUGUUAAGUCUGCUGUGAAAUCCCCGGGCUCAACCUGGGAAUGGCAGUGGAUACUGGCAAGCUAGAGUGUGUCAGAGGAUGGUGGAAUUCCCGGUGUAGCGGUGAAAUGCGUAGAGAUCGGGAGGAACAUCAGUGGCGAAGGCGGCCAUCUGGGACAACACUGACGCUGAGGCACGAAAGCGUGGGGAGCAAACAGGAUUAGAUACCCCGGUAGUCCCUGUCUCUUAUAU
This 303-nucleotide ribosomal RNA is filed under the name uncultured bacterium. Its description in RNAcentral is "partial 16S ribosomal RNA". It matches the Rfam family "Bacterial small subunit ribosomal RNA", at positions 507 to 809 of the family's 1533-position model. The record is from RNAcentral.